Molecule: ribosomal RNA, 478 nt
Filed under: uncultured bacterium
Lineage: Bacteria
Description: partial 16S ribosomal RNA
Rfam family: Bacterial small subunit ribosomal RNA
Source: RNAcentral
GAUGAACGCUGGCGGCGUGCUUAACACAUGCAAGUCGAACGGGAAACCUUUUAAUGAAGCUUCGGCAGAUUUAGCUGGUUUCUAGUGGCGGACGGGUGAGUAACGCGUGGGUAACCUGCCUUAUACAGGGGGAUAACAGUCAGAAAUGACUGCUAAUACCGCAUAAGCGCACAGGACCGCAUGGUCCGGUGUGAAAAACUCCGGUGGUAUAAGAUGGACCCGCGUUGGAUUAGCUUGUUGGGGGGGUAACGGCUCACCAAGGCGACGAUCCAUAGCCGGCCUGAGAGGGUGAACGGCCACAUUGGGACUGAGACACGGCCCAGACUCCUACGGGAGGCAGCAGUGGGGAAUAUUGCACAAUGGGGGAAACCCUGAUGCAGCGACGCCGCGUGAAGGAAGAAGUAUCUCGGUAUGUAAACUUCUAUAAGCAGGGAAGAUAGUGACGGUACCUGACUAAGAAGCCCCGGCUAACUACGUG